Molecule: long non-coding RNA, 4371 nt
Filed under: Brassica napus (rape)
Lineage: Eukaryota; Viridiplantae; Streptophyta; Magnoliopsida; Brassicales; Brassicaceae
Description: long non-coding RNA (BNAP_LNC013704)
Source: RNAcentral
GGGUUGGUGAGGACGUGAUGGAUGCUGAUUGGUUGAUUCAAACUGGUCAAAGCAAGGGCUGGCUCCUGAUUGGUUCCCUUAAGGCUCCCAUGAACCUUAUUCACAAAGAUGGCUAGAUACAUGGUCAAGGCUGCUUUUCCUUUACAGCUCAAAGACAGCCUGUCAUUGACCACGCCCUAGCUCUCCCUUAUCCACAAACAGUCACAAGAUAACUCAGGUUUGUCUUCUCUUGCGCCGUAAGUUUGCACAGCUUCAUUUCAGGUUGAUCCGGAACAAGUACGGUCGAUGGUACGGACCGCCCAUCCGUACCUCGCCCUAUUUUUGUACCAACUCCCAAUCUGACUCCAAAUGGUGUCUAAGUAUGCCUAAGUCCCUCCUGGACUUGACCCUAACUUUGCACACCUCAUUUGGAUACUUCUGGACACUCCUGAACACUCCUAAAGCCUUGAUAGACAAUCUCCGGAGGUCUUGCCCUAUUCUUGCUCAAGACCCAAACUCAACCCAACUCCUCCAUUGGCUCCAUUUCUUUCUUCAAGUCAACACUCCCCCUCAAGCUUGACUCUAGGUGAUCCUAAGCCAAGCUUGGAACCUUGAAGAACUCCCUCAUUAAAAACCUCACCAAGGAAAACCCUUUGGGACAAAACCUUGAUGAGGGAAAAAGAGUAGAGCCUUCAAGGCCUAGGGAUUGGCCAGUGAGCCUAUGUGCCUUAGUAUCACUGAGGUUUAGGCACAUAGGCUCUGGAUCACGGCCUCUUCACUUCACCACACCUUCUUAGACUCUUCUAUAGAACCGGCUUAGUGUCUCCCCCUUUCACCUGACUUCAUGCCAUCUUGAAAGGCUAGGAACGACCUGAUCCUCUCCAUUGAGUCUCCAAGUAAGGUACCUGAUACAUCAUUCCACAAGUGUAUCAGUUCUCAAGAGAUAAACCUAUCAUGAAUGUAUAUAAAGAGAUUGAUCAGGUUUACUCCCUUGUUUAAAUGUUGAGGAGUGGCUGCUCUUCACACACCACUUGAAUCCCUCACUUGCUGAGCUUAACAGCUCCUUCUCUUAUCAUGCAAGCUCAUCCACAAUUGUAGCUUGCGUUCAAUGUGAGCAGCAACCCAAAGACCUUGUCCUGCUCACGCCUCUCAUUUAGAAGCUCUGGAUCAACCGUGCUUGGUCUCAACAUCUCCAACUCAGACCACAGUGUCCUGAACCUCCCCAAGUGCUUAGUAAACUCCAUGUCAUCUUGGGUUAACUCGUUGAUUGCCUUCUUGACUUCAAACACUCGGUUCAGGUUAGAAACGUUUCCAUACACUUUCUUCAGAGUAUCCCACAGCUCCUUGGCUGUCUCACAGUAGCUAUAAGCAUCUAGGAUAGCCGGCUCCAAAGAGGCAUGAAGGACUGACAUUACCAUCAUGUCUUCUUGUUGCCACUUCUCCACAACACUCUCCUCGGAGCUCUCUGCAUCACCCUCCUGAGUAAUUGCCUUUGGAGCUUCACCAGAUGUGAUAUGCUUCCAGCUUCCCACAGAAGUCUUCACCAUCCUAGACCAGACUAGGUAGUUGCUUCCUUUGAAUGUCACCGCGACCUUCAUCUUCAUACCACUUUCCAUCUUGAACAGCUUGACGUCUAUAGCUUGAACAAUGCAAUGGCCUUGACUAACACAGGUCAUUGAGCAACAGGAUCAUCAGGUGGCUCACUUUGCUCCCCUCCUCAAGCUUGGAUUGAGUAUGGGUCCAAGCUUGAAGUGAGCCUCAAUGAGCCUUAAGAUCAGGAGCGCAACAUCUCAUAGAGUGCGCUUCAACCACUGAUCAACCCUUCCCUUUAUCUCCAAUGCCUUCUGGUCACCGGUCUCCUCUAGACUUAGGUGAUGACCACUCGCCUUGUGUAUCCACACACACACCACAGCGACCAUUCCCAAUGGGUAAAGUCUUCCUCUUCUGCUCGGAUUGGUGAUGGACAGAGAGCACAUCUUGUGAACCUGAAACAUCACUCAAACUCCAGCAAAGAUAAGACACAAGCAUUGGGAUCAAUCCUUCACGGAUCACCAAGACACACGCAAAGUACCUUGAGCUUUUGAACUCUCAAGAAACUCUCAAACACACUCACUUGUUCUCUUAAAGUUUUAAACUUGAAUCCUUAAGAGAAUCACUCACGAACUCAGAUUUCAAUCAACCUGGCUCUGAUACCAUAUGAGAUUUAAGGAUGUAAAUGAUUAUCUGAGUUUAGAAAGGAUUAUUAUGCAACAGAUUGAAACAAGCAUUAUCAAGUUCACAUCUUUGCAAGCAAUCUCUCUAAGUACAAGCAAGAUCAAAUCAGAUUCAAGACAAGCUACUUAGGCAAUCAACCCUGCCUUAAUCCGCAAUCAUAGACAUCCAUCUAUGUGCUCAAUGUUAAGGCAGCAACAAGAUGACAAUAUGCUGUGACCUUAAUCAGUUUCUAGCUCAUGUAUGCAAUAAGAUCAGCCAAUGCUUUCUAUUAUCCUAACACACAUCACUUAUAACUGAGGCAAAGCAAUAUUAAUCAUCAAUCAACAUCAGACAAUGCAAAACCUUAAGUGAUUUCAGUUUAAUGAAAGCUAAUAGGAUUUAGACAGUUUCUAACAUCCUAGCACAAUCAUAACCAAACCGGGUAAGCAUUUUAUUUCUCAACAUCAAACAAGACUCUUAAAGCAUCCUGGGACUGAACUAGACAAUAUAAUAUAGCAUUUCAUAUCAAGAACCCACGGAUUGCAACACUACACAACACAACACACAACCAGUUUCAAUCACAAGCUCAUAUCAAGAAGGUUUAGGAUUAGCUUACAACCAAGGAACCUGAGCUGGUUCCUUGAGCCUCCUUGGUUAUAGGUCACGAAUCUGAUGGGUAAGAGAGCUGGAUCGUCACCCAACACCCUCUCCUUGUGUUCAUAACCUUCUCCUUGAAACCACAACUCAAAAGGCUCCACCUUUCUUCACAGCUCCAAGUCACCAACUUCAGGAACAAGGGGAAAGCUUUCUUCUUGAAUGGUUUCAGCUUGGACCAGAGUUGAGACACACCUUUAAUGGACUGGAGAGAGGAGGCACGACCAUGAUAAACCUCCUUGGCUUCAUACACCUUCUUCUUGAAGAGAGAGAACCAAAAGGACAGAUCUUCAAUGGCUUGGAUUUGAGAUGAGACUAGGCUUGUGAUGUAUAUGCGGAAGCUGGAACCAAGUUCUGAUGAACCUGGCUCUGAUACCAUGUUAGGUUUUCAGAGCUCAGGCUGUGUGUGUGAGAAGAAGCCACUAAGGGCGAAAUGAGAGCUUGAACUGAAGAGAGAAAGGUCUGAUGAAGAACAGUAUGAACUUGGACAGAAACAAGAGAUUUAGAGAGAUUAAGAGAUUUAAGUAUAAGAAAGGGGUAGUUUGAGGGAUUCUUAUCCAAGAACACACUUUGUAUUAUGAAGGAGGAGGGGAAAUCCCCCUCUCUCUCUUGAGAGACACAAAAACGUCCAUACAUAGCUUAUUUAUAAGCUUUACACAUUGCAAACUCAUAAACCCUUAAUCUAAUGGAUAGAAAUGACUGAAUUGAAAUAGAUGGCUAGGAUGGAGUCUGGUGGGUUGGUGAGGACGUGAUGGAUGCUGAUUGGUUGAUUCAAACUGGUCAAAGCAAGGGCUGGCUCCUGAUUGGUUCCCUUAAGGCUCCCAUGAACCUUAUUCACAAAGAUGUCUAGAUACAUGGUCAAGGCUGCUUUUCCUUUACAGCUCAAAGACAGCCUGUCAUUGACCACGCCCUAGCUCUCCCUUAUCCACAAACAGUCACAAGAUAACUCAGGUUUGUCUUCUCUUGCGCCGUAAGUUUGCACAGCUUCAUUUCAGGUUGAUCCGGAACAAGUACGGUCGAUGGUACGGACCGCCCAUCCGUACCUCGCCCUAUUUUUGUACCAACUCCCAAUCUGACUCCAAAUGGUGUCUAAGUAUGUCUAAGUCCCUCCUGGACUUGACCCUAACUUUGCACACCUCAUUUGGAUACUUCUGGACACUCCUGAACACUCCUAAAGCCUUGAUAGACAAUCUCCGGAGGUCUUGCCCUAUUCUUGCUCAAGACCCAAACUCAACCCAACUCCUCCAUUGGCUCCAUUUCUUUCUUCAAGUCAACACUCCCCCUCAAGCUUGACUCUAGGUGAUCCUAAGCCAAGCUUGGAACCUUGAAGAACUCCCUCAUUAAAAACCUCACCAAGGAAAACCCUUUGGGACAAAACCUUGAUGAGGGAAAAAGAGUAGAGCCUUCAAGGCCUAGGGAUUGGCCAGUGAGCCUAUGUGCCUUAGUAUCACUGAGGUUUAGGCACAUAGGCUCUGGAUCACGGCCUCUUCACUUCACCACACCUUCUUAGACUCUUCUAUAGAACCGGCUUAGUGUCUCCCCCUU